UCAAAAAUGUCAAGUAUUGUUUUGGUUUAUUCGUCGUUUUCUUUAGGCCCUCCGCAAGGUUUUAACCUCUUUAUUAGACGUUUUAAUUAUUAUAAUAUCGAUAAUAACAGGAAUAUUUUGUUUAUUUUGAAUGUUGGGAAGUGUAAAUAGUGAAACUGCUACCUAUUUAUUAAAAGAAAACGGAAAUGAGUUUCAAUAUACAUUGAAGAAAAAUUACGGUCCUAUGCUUCAAUGUAUUUAUUGUUCCGGAGAAUGAGAUGAAAACAAUGUCGCAAACACACAAUUCUUUCUUUAAACAAAUUUUCGAGAAGGAGGAUGCAAAUGCUGUUAGUAAAAACUCGUGCCGAUAUCUUUCAUAGGAAAACGUUGCAUACAUUUAUACAAGAAAAUAUUAAACAUAUUGAGUAAAGUUACAAUGUAUUAAGA
Malaya genurostris is the source of this 426-nucleotide long non-coding RNA. RefSeq lists it as uncharacterized. Lineage: Eukaryota; Metazoa; Arthropoda; Insecta; Diptera; Culicidae. The record is from RefSeq and is a predicted model, not a curated record. The transcript has 2 exons.